AUAAAAGUAAAUAAAACUAAAACUAUAAAUUAAAAAUAAAAUGAAAUAAAAUAAAAUAAAAAACAGAGAAGCUCAUAUGCGUUUCAAAGCUCAAAAAUUGUUUCAAAGCCCUAAAAAUGUUUCAAAGCUCCAUCCGGAAAAACUAUUACUUCCAAUCCUUUCAACGAUUCAGUCGUUCAUUAUUGUUCUCAAUCCUAAAAUCAUUCCAAAGCUUCAUCUCACAAAUCUCUCUCGUUCAUUAUCGUUCUCAGUCCUCCAUCAUGCAAAAUUAAGA
This 274-nucleotide long non-coding RNA is filed under the name Lathyrus oleraceus (garden pea). RNAcentral describes it as "Pisum sativum (pea) long non-coding RNA (PSAT_LNC020285)". The record is from RNAcentral. Lineage: Eukaryota; Viridiplantae; Streptophyta; Magnoliopsida; Fabales; Fabaceae.